UUUGGUGAGAUUUAAAUUUAUCUUACAUCAUUUUUGCAUCACAGUUCAAAAAAUGAUUAAUCUGUGACUUUUAGGAGCAAGUACAACUUUUGGAGAUGAGAAAUAUCUACUCGUAUCAAUUUUCAGAAAGAAGUCCAGGAAGAGGUACCUUUAGUAUUGCUCAGUAUUUAAGAUUUAUGUCCUUGACUAAUAUAUCCCAAGGAUUCAUUUGAGCCGUCAGCCAUACCGCAUAAUUGUCAUACAAUUCUCGUUUUCGUGAGCAAAACAUCUGUUUCAAAGAAGUCUUGCUCCUGGGAUGGUGUGUUGGGUGAUAAGUGUGACUCUUGGGGCUCAGGGGACAGACAGCGGAUGGGAUCAGAAAGUCAAUUACGAUUUAACAAGCUUUUUGUGUUUAUAUCUAUAUUGUGCUCUCUGUGUUUAAUUUCUCAGCUGCGAAAGAGUCUAAAUCCAUUCAAACAGAGCAAUUGUGCCCUGUUCACAAGGAGGUAGGUACCUCCACAGCAGAGGUAGAACACAAGCGCUCAGGGGACGUCAAGAUGACCCUGCAGAAGCACAAAAGCACGGAGAGCUGUAAUGAGCCGAGCCAUAACGCCCAGGAGGUUCCUGCCACUGGAUACGUAGAAACAAAGAACAAUGAAAGUGCUGCAAAAGAUGGGCCAAUAGUUGGAAACACAACAAAAUAUGGAAACACUUCUGUUGAAACUGCUGCAGGCCCUCCAGUGCCGCUUUGCUGACCAGGAGGUCUCCCUCAUCGCUGCUGAGAAGGCACCACUACCCGCGCCUUCAGAGACACCAUGAAGAACCCGCACCUCAGGAAUCCGACAGCAGGGUGGGACCUGCGGAGGAACCGCGUCACCUACAGCGAAGGCCGCAUAAAGUCACGUCACCUAGAAACGGAGGCCUGUAAGCCCCACUUUUUCAGACCUUCACAAAGUGGCCUUGCGGGAGGAGGAGAGUGGCAAGCUGAAGAAGUGGAACUUGAUGAAGGAACUUUUUGGUAAGGUGACUUUCAGUGAACCAAGACCAAAGUCAAAGGUCAGGCCCAGAUCCUAAAGCUCAUAUAUAAACCCCACGGGAAAGAAAACGAAGAUUCUGCUAUGAAGGAAAACAAUAUGAUCAUCUUUGUGUGGCAGAGAACCGUAAUGGUCCUGUAACAAUUUUACCUGAUAUGGCCUUAAAUGUACAGUAUGUUUUUUGAACUUGACUGAAAAUAUUUUUAUUUCAUUUUUAGCAUCCCUAUCAUUCA
This is a long non-coding RNA of Scleropages formosus (Asian bonytongue), 1246 nucleotides long. RefSeq lists it as uncharacterized. The transcript is spliced from 3 exons. The record is from RefSeq and is a predicted model, not a curated record. NCBI's taxonomy places the organism in Eukaryota, Metazoa, Chordata, Actinopteri, Osteoglossiformes, Osteoglossidae.